This 165-nucleotide ribosomal RNA is filed under the name uncultured bacterium. RNAcentral's name for it is "partial 16S rRNA". It matches the Rfam family "Bacterial small subunit ribosomal RNA", at positions 355 to 511 of the family's 1533-position model. The record is from RNAcentral.
UAGGGAAUCUUCCACAAUGGACGCAAGCCUGAUGGAGCAACGCCGCGUGAGUGAAGAAGGUUUUCGGAUCGUAAAGCUCUGUUGUAAGAGAAGAACGUGUGUGAGAGUGGAAAGUUCACACAGUGACGGUAACUUACCAGAAAGGGACGGCUAACUACGUGCCAG